UGGGGAAUAUUGCACAAUGGGCGCAAGCCUGAUGCAGCCAUGCCGCGUGUAUGAAGAAGGCCUUCGGGUUGUAAAGUACUUUCAGUCGGGAGGAAGGUGUCAAGGUUAAUAACCUUGGCAAUUGACGUUACCGACAGAAGAAGCACCGGCUAACUCCGUGCCAGCAGCCGCGGUAAUACGGAGGGUGCAAGCAUUAAUCGGAAUUACUGGGCGUAAAGCGCACGCAGGCGGUUGAUUGAGUCAGAUGUGAAAUCCCCGGGCUUAACCCGGGAAUUGCAUCUGAUACUGGUCAGCUAGAGUCUUGUAGAGGGGGGUAGAAUUCCAUGUGUAGCGGUGAAAUGCGUAGAGAUGUGGAGGAAUACCGGUGGCGAAGGCGGCCCCCUGGACAAAGACUGACGCUCAGGUGCGAAAGCGUGGGGAGCAAACAGG
RNAcentral lists this ribosomal RNA (429 nucleotides) under Chloroflexota bacterium. Its description in RNAcentral is "Chloroflexi bacterium partial 16S ribosomal RNA". It matches the Rfam family "Bacterial small subunit ribosomal RNA", at positions 355 to 776 of the family's 1533-position model. Lineage: Bacteria; Bacillati; Chloroflexota. The record is from RNAcentral.